RNAcentral lists this long non-coding RNA (253 nucleotides) under Malus domestica (apple). RNAcentral's name for it is "long non-coding RNA (MDOM_LNC007512)". Lineage: Eukaryota; Viridiplantae; Streptophyta; Magnoliopsida; Rosales; Rosaceae. The record is from RNAcentral.
UUCUAAACAUCUCUCGCUUAUCAACUUAAUAUUGGUUUGGUUGAGGGUUUUAGGUCUCAUCACAUAUAAAUAUUCAUUUUAAUCUCUAUUAAAACAAUUUUGGUCCUCUUACAACUAUUGGUCCAUUUGAUUGUUUUAGUUGUAUAUAAUACUCCCACUAUGCUUAUAAAACGAUUUUUAAAGCAAGAGUAUAUGACUACUAACAUAAACUUUGCAUUCAUUUGAUGGACUAUAUAGUUGCCUUAGGGCCUUA